CAGUCGCCGCGGUAAGACAGAGGAUACAAGCGUUAUCCGGAAUGAUUGGGCGUAAAGCGUCUGUAGGUGGUUUAAUAAGUCUGAUGUGAAAGCCCACGGCUCAACCGUGGAGGGUCAUUGGAAACUGUUAAACUUGAGUACAGGAGAGAAAAGUGGAAUUCCUAGUGUAGCGGUGAAAUGCGUAGAGAUUAGGAGGAACACCAGUGGCGAAGGCGGCUUUUUGGCCUGUAACUGACACUGAGGCGCGAAAGCGUGGGGAGCAAACAGGAUUAGAUACCCCAGUAGUCCCUGUCUCUUAUAC
RNAcentral lists this ribosomal RNA (301 nucleotides) under uncultured bacterium. RNAcentral's name for it is "partial 16S ribosomal RNA". It matches the Rfam family "Bacterial small subunit ribosomal RNA", at positions 509 to 807 of the family's 1533-position model. The record is from RNAcentral.